GGAGGCCAUUUUAGAGGUGGGGAAACUGAGGCGCGAAUUGCCCACGGUCACCCAGCAGACCAGUGACAGAACUGGGUUUAGAACCCAGGUCUCCCGAGUCCCAGUCUAAUGCUCAAACUACUAGGCCGCUAGGCCCCAUCUUUGUUGUUAAACUUGGCACCUGGCCCAUACGUAACCUGAACAAAGCAUCUGCUUGGCUUUCUCUGAAUAUGUUUGGUUUUGAAGUCGUCUGGGUUCAAUUGCAACGCUUGUCCUCAGUAGGUGCAGUUCUGACAUAGAUACACUAUGUAGCGCCAUCUCCUAACUAAAACAGCUGGGGUCAUCUGUUUGUGCUCUCUGGGAAUUGAUCAGCCAUGUGGUACGGCUUGGAAAAGGAGGAUGUGUUUUGGACCUAGGGUUAAUUUUUUUUUUUUUUUUUUUUUUUUUGGCAGUUGUUCUUCAACAUGUUUCUACAUAUCUGCUAAGGAACUCAAACACUGCAUUGCUGUUAACUCUAGAGAGAGGAUAUAUGAUUGGUGGGAUCACAUAAGAUCUACAUUAUCCUCCAGCCACCAAGGAAUUGAAGAUCGGGUCCUAUUUAUAUGUCAUAGUGCACGUAUGGAACUGAGACUUCUCUGCUGCUCCUUUAAUCACUGGAGCAGGAUCUCAGCCAGUUCUGAGGCCAGAGAGAAUCAUAUUUUGCUAGGGAGCUGUGCUGCUGAACACUGAUGUGUCUUGGGCCAGAUACUGCCACCCUUACUCAUGCUAAGUAAUACCUGACUCUGUAAGUACAACAGCUAAUGAUAAUAUACUACACUAGGCCAGGUUUUGCCAUCAGUGUAGCGUUUGGGCCUGAUCCUUUAUGCUUCAAGCAAUAAGCAUGGCAUUAUAUAGCCUUAAAGGGUGGUCGCUUUCUUCCUUGUAUAAAACAAACCCAUUGAAACAAUUUCCAAUCCUUUCUCUUUUGCUGUCUCUGAAUUCACUGGUUCAACACAACAUGUACAGAACACGCGUCUGAUUGACAAAAAUGCCUGACUGUCCUAUGUAGCUACAGUGUCAACCAAGUUAACAGUGUUGUUUGUUUAAAAGACCACUGUCCUUGUACUGUGCUUAGUGUGGGGGAAAAUGAAAUGUACCAUUUGUUGGAAUCAUACUGGCUAAGCCAUGUCACUUUAUACGCAUCUCUUUAAUAAAAGACAAUUGGCCAAAUCCA
Molecule: long non-coding RNA, 1192 nt
Filed under: Chrysemys picta bellii (western painted turtle)
Lineage: Eukaryota; Metazoa; Chordata; Testudines; Emydidae
Description: lncRNA (ENSCPBG00000001828.1)
Source: RNAcentral